This 717-nucleotide ribosomal RNA is filed under the name uncultured archaeon. Its description in RNAcentral is "bacterial SSU rRNA". It matches the Rfam family "Archaeal small subunit ribosomal RNA", at positions 17 to 738 of the family's 1478-position model. The record is from RNAcentral.
CCGGAGGUCACUGCUAUUGGGAUUCGACUAAGCCAUGCGAGUCGAGAGGGUUCGGCCCUCGGCUGACGGCUCAGUAACACGUGGAUAAUCUGCCCUUAGGUGGAGGAUAACCUCGGGAAACUGAGAAUAAUACUCCAUAGGUCUAGGAUGCUGGAAUGCAUCUAGACUGAAAACUCCGGUGCCUAAGGAUGAGUCUGCGGACUAUCAGGUUGUAGUCAGGGUAAAGACCUGACUAGCCUACGACGGAUAUGGGUUGUGAGAGCAAUAACCCAGAGAUGAUAUCUGAGACACGAUAUCAGGCCCUACGGGGCGCAGCAGGCGCGAAAACUUCACACUGUGCGAAAGCACGAUGAGGGAAUCCCAAGUGCCAGCUCGUAAGAGUUGGCUGUUUUUCUGUCUAAAACACAGAGAGAGUAAGAGCUGGGUAAGACGGGUGCCAGCCGCCGCGGUAAUACCUGCAGCUCGAGUGGUGACCGUUAUUAUUGGGCCUAAAACGUCCGUAGCCGGUUUAGUAAAUGCCUGGGUAAAUCGUGUAGCUUAACUAUACGAAUUCCGGGUAGACUGCUAAACUUGAGACCGGGAGAGGCUAGAGGUACUCCUGGGGUAGAGGUGAAAUUCUGUAAUCCUGGGGGGACCACCAGUGGCGAAGGCGUCUAGCUAGAACGGAUCUGACGGUGAGGGACGAAUCCCCUGGGGCGCAACCCGGAUUAGUUAUCC